AAGGAGGACUGCAAUUGUCUUAUUACCAACACUGCAGGAUCCCCAGUGCAGCUGAACAGUAUAAGAAUGAAGGGCAGAGGGAACAAAAUUGCUUAAAUCACCUUUUGUAAAGAAACUGGAAAUGUUUCUGUAAACCCUCCUCUGUUUGAUGAGCCACAUGAGAUGUUAGUUAGUGUCUGAGAAGUACACAUUUCCCGAACUACAUAAUCUCUCUGGUGGUGUAAACAAUACUUUCUGCGAAAGUGUUGUUCCAAAAGUAGGAUUGGAGAAUGCUUUGAGUUGGCCAACUAAGCUUGGACAGAUAUCUGCUGGUUAUAAUUGAAGAACAUUUGAGGGUAGGGCAUGAAGAACAUUGUUGAAGAAUUAAGAGAAACCGUUAGAACCUGAUCUUCUCUGUGGGAAGAGUCCUUUUUUCUCACUUCCAUAUGUUUCCUUCCUAAAGAGCUUGAACAAUGUUAUUGAGGGCUGCUUCUCUACUGGUAGAGUCAUCUAUGACUGAGUUGAAGAAACUUUAAAGUUUCAUGUAACUUUGGAGCAUAUUUCAGAAUGCCUGUUUUGGAUUGUAUUCUGAACAGGCCGGCGAGUCAAUCCACAAGAGUUUUUGUAACGAUCUGGGACAGAUAUAGAAUUAAACUCCUGUCUAACUCCAAUUACAAUCAGAACCUCAGAAGAAGUAUAUUUGAGUUCUCUUCUUUCAAUCUUUAGGAUCUGUUCUCAUAUUUUUAUUUUCAGAUAAAAUGGCAGAGGCAGAAGGUCACAAGCUCUUUCAAAAGUUCUCCUGUGAAUUUUGCCGCCUGGAGAUGACAAGAUUCUCUAGGUUUGGUGACAUCCCCCACUGGAAAGCGAUGUCUUUUUUCUCAUCCCCCCCUCCCCCCAUACACACCCACAACUGGAAAAUGU
Eurytemora carolleeae is the source of this 900-nucleotide long non-coding RNA. RefSeq lists it as uncharacterized. The record is from RefSeq and is a predicted model, not a curated record. The transcript has 3 exons. Lineage: Eukaryota; Metazoa; Arthropoda; Copepoda; Calanoida; Temoridae.